UUGAACGCUGGCGGCAUGCCUUACACAUGCAAGUCGAACGGUAGAGGGGCAACCCUUGAGAGUGGCGAACGGGUGAGUAAUGCAUCGGAACGUGCCCAGUCGUGGGGGAUAACGCAGCGAAAGCUAUGCUAAUACCGCAUGUGAUCUGUGGAUGAAAGCAGGGGACCGCAAGGCCUUGUGCGAUUGGAGCGGCCGAUGUCAGAUUAGCUAGUUGGUAGGGUAAAAGCCUACCAAGGCGACGAUCUGUAGCUG
This 252-nucleotide ribosomal RNA is filed under the name uncultured bacterium. RNAcentral describes it as "partial 16S ribosomal RNA". It matches the Rfam family "Bacterial small subunit ribosomal RNA", at positions 30 to 289 of the family's 1533-position model. The record is from RNAcentral.